Non-coding RNA from Ictidomys tridecemlineatus (thirteen-lined ground squirrel), 5254 nucleotides. NCBI's taxonomy places the organism in Eukaryota, Metazoa, Chordata, Mammalia, Rodentia, Sciuridae. The record is from RefSeq and is a predicted model, not a curated record.
ACAAUAAAGAUGUAUUUCUUUUAAUAUCAGAAAAAAACUUGUAGUGGUAACAUGUUUAAUUUACAUACAAGUCAAAUAAACCUAAAAUAUGUAAUUUCUUCAUUAUUCUGACUUUUAAAUCCCUACCCUGUGGUUAAAAGAAAUUAUGUAUACUUAGGAAAAUAUAUAUGCAUAUAUAUACAAUUAACCAAAUGUUUUAAUGUAAUCUGUUCAAGAGAUUUCAGCACUCAUAUUAGGAAAUAAUCAAUCAUCAAGAUAAAUAUGUAAAAUGCUUGGUUUUCCAGAAUAGCCUAUCUUCCCAUGUUUUCUCCCCAAGAUAUUUUUUGAAGGAAAAUUAGCACCCUCACAAUGGUGGAGGAAAAAAUAAAGCUCUUGGGCACAAUGUCCUUUACCUCUUCUGGUCUCCAAGGCUAUGUCCCUUGUCUCCUGAGUGUCUCCUGGCCUUCAAGGCUGAAACCUGAGAAUGGUGUAACUGGUAAUCUCUCUUGGUUUGGUCAGGAUUAUCACUUCCUGCUGACUCAGCCUCACGUUAGCUUCCACAGGCUGCAGACUCCUGAAUGUCUGCCAUGGCCUUUCUCCAUCCCUGACCCAGAAGUACAUGGGAUCUGCUGUGCUGACACCUCACCUUCCCAUCAGGUACACUCCUGUGGAUCUCUCCCUUCUCAACUCUGAAUCCCCAUCAUGUAAAGAUCCAGGGCAUCCUGGAAAGCCAAGCCCCUGAGCCCCUUCCCCUCAGGGCAUCACCAUCCCACCCCACUCAUGACCAGGAUCCAGAUUGCUCUUGAAGUUAAUUUGUCUUAAAGCACACACCUCCAGGGAUACUUUGUUCUUCAUUCUUUCUCUCCUUUUUUAUAUGUCUACCAUUCUCCAGGACCAGAAAGUAACCAGACUUCUCUUUUACUUCUGCUAUGCCCUAACCUCCUCCUUCCCACUCCAGCCAGGUAUGAAGGGUAUCCAAUUGGCAUCAAGAUGCUUGACCUUAGCUAAAAGCUCAAGAAGUGAUUCUUCUUGGCAUUAGAGAAAAAAAAUCUCUGAAAAGAGCCUUUGUGCUCUGUGAUUAAUUUGACAAAGGGAUAUAGGAAUCCUUAUUUAAGACAAUCAUUUACAUCAUUCUUUUUCAAAUCACCAAAUAUUAAUAAUAAACAUUACCUUGUUCUAUACCUUGGAAUUUCUCCUAUAACAAUUAUAUUUGGAUGAAUGAUGAGGGUAGAAGAGACAAAGGUUUUUUAUUCAAUAAAGCCAAACAACAAUCCCCCAUGCCAAGAAAAACCUACUUUGAAACCUUAUUUCCAUUAUAAAGUUAUUUAAGAAAAAUAACCAACCUAAAUACAUACCUAGCUAAAACAGGGAGAGAUCAAGAGAGGAAAAAAAAAAAAGGUUUUGAACUGAAGCUUGUAGGAUGCUAAACUUUACAAAGGGAAUGAACAGAAAGUAAUGAAAAAUUUAGAAAAAAUUCAAAAGAUAAGAAUUAAAAAUGCCUUCUGUGUUUUUAUUUGUAAUAUUUGACAUUUCUCUAAGUAUCAAGUUGCUUUAGAGAGAGGCAAUUAUGAUGCAAACAAGUUUCCUGCCAGAGACAUAAACCUUACAGGAGACCAAGAUAAAUAACCAAGAUACCAAGUGUCUAUAGUUCAUUUCUACACCAUUUUAUUCCAGAAAGAAUUUCAAGUAACUGACAGAGCUAAUUCUCACUGAAUAGUAAAUGAUCCAAAAUUUUGGGGGGCGUGGGGGAGAAAUGUUGGACAUGAUACAGCUUUGUAAAGAAAAUAAACCUAAGUGUAGAAGAAAGCAACAAUUUAAUCCGAUUUAACCGUGGUGAGAGGUGUAUGGAUCUAAGGCAACGGGAGGCUUUCAGAAGAUGAUUCUGGUUGCAGCCAAGAAGCCAGCAGUGACGCUGGCUUGGGCAGCGUUGGGAGCUGACGGUCAGCGGAAUACAUGUGAGAGGUGUUACAAAAGUAAAAUGUGUAAGUCUUAGUCCCUGGUUUGCUUCAGAGAUUGAAAGAAGUCAUGGUGUUAAUGGUGACUAUGGAGCUUCAAGGCCAAGAGCAGAAAUAAUAAGAACAAUAACAAAAAAUGCCCACUGUCAUUCAUGCUUAUAACGCAGAACAAGAGUAAUUUAUUUCCACGUUUUCUAUGAUCACAAUAUAAACAAAUCUAAAGAUAAUGAAGGAAAUUUUUCAAUUCAAAAAUUUGUGAUGGCCAGAUAAGGUAUUGCAUUCCUGUAAUCCCAAUAGCUCAGGAGCCUGAGGUAGGAGGAUCUCAAGUUCAAAGCCAGCCUCAACAACAGCGAGGUGCUAAGAAAUUCAGCGAGACUCUGUCUCCAAAUAAAAUACAAAAGAGGGGUGGGGAUGUAGCUCUGUGGAUGAGUGCCCUGAGUUCAAACCCUUGUACAAAAAAAAUAAAAUAAAAUUUAUGAUGACUUGGUACAUUUAACAGCAGUAAGAAUUACAAUGUGUAUGUUUUUAGGAAACGCUAUGGUUGAGAAAAUGAAAGUUAUCAUUUCUCAUCUUCAAAAACAGAGAAAAAUCAAAAAGUAAAAUUCUAACUUAAAAUAUUUGGAUUUGCACAUGUUAUCUCAAUUGACUUUCAGCACUUUGUACAUUGAUUAAUUUUUGGAUAGUUAUCUAAGAACAUUUAUUUUUUGCUACAAGUGGUAGCUGAGUUGAAUUCUGAUACCAGUUGAGCUCUUUAUGAAGUCUAUGGUCUUAAUAGAAGUAAUAUAAAGCCACAGAUGGACUUUUAUUCAAAGUGGUACAAGUUUAGAAUAUUUGGAAAAUCGACAUUUGAUUGACAAUUAUCAGAUAUAAUGGACUUGGUUUAUACUAUUAUUCAGAUGUGGCAAGGAAAUCAUAGCUUCCUUAUUUUCUGUAACCCACCCAGUAUGCUUUGUAUUUUGUUGUUGUUGUUGUUGAGAUAAAAUUCAGAAAAGAUCCCUUUAAAGUGCACAAUUGAGUGCUUUUUUGUGGGUUCACAAAGUUGCACAACCAUCACCAUCACCCUUAUCUAAUCCCAGACAUUUUUUAUCAGUCCCCCAAAACACCCCCAAGUUCAAUAGCAGCUACCCCUUACAUACCAUUCAACCGGCCCCUGCCAAGUACCAAUCUUCUUUCUGUGUCUAUGGAUUUGCCUACUUUAGAGAUUUCAUACAAAUAGAAUCAUACUCUAUGAAACCCACAAAAUUGCCCCUCUGAACUCUCACUCAGUUAAGUGGCACUAGAAGUUUACUAGCUCAAAUUUAGUGAUCAUUAUUACUUUUCCAGCUUAAGAUGAUUUAAUUUUGGUAAACACUCUUUAAAGUAUUAACUAACAGAUUGCUUCUUCCCUCCUUUCUUCCUUUCCAAGUUGAUCUGGGGGGAGAAGACCCUAAGAAGUUCUCCUGCCAAUGGUGGGAAGAUGGAUAUCUUCUCUGUUGGUCAAUACAGGGUAGAGAGCUGACAGCUCUGGUCUUAGGAUCAGUGCAUCUCAGGUACAACUGGACUCUUGGCAGGAUGAUGUCUUCCCCUUCUCCUGACACUUGAGCCUAACACUGCUUCCAGCCAUCAAGAUCGCUGCCCAGGGCUAUCUCCUCUUGCCAGUUCCAGGUUUUGCCAGCUCAUGAUCCUCUCAGUACCUCUGAGUCUACUCUGAGGGUAGGUCUGGGCCUUUUGUUUCCUUGUGGAAUGCCCUGCUUCUCUAACAUGUGGCACAUAGGAUGUGUUCAAUGAUAUCUUGAGAAUGAGUAAGUGAAUCCUCAAAUUUGAACUAAAAUACGUCCUCUGUGUAUCCUUUGCCAAUGCACCCCGCAUCCCAGCUUCCUCUGUGAGCCCAUCUGAAAAUAAUCUUGUUGCUUGUUAUGGUUUGGAUAUAAGGUGUCACUCACACACAUACACACACCACACACACACACACACACACACACACACACACACACACACACCGCCAAUUCCUGUAUGAAUUCAGGAAUAUUUAGAAGGGAAAUGUUAGGAUUAUGAGAGCCAUUACCUAAUCAGUCCAUCCUAGUUUGAAUGGACAGACUGGGUGACAACUGAAGGCAGGUGGGGUGUGGCUGGAGGCGAUGAGUUACUAGGGGACUACCCUGGAAGGGUGCAUCUUCCUUUUCCCCUCUGCUCUCUGUCUGCUUCCUGCCCUGCCAUGAGCUGAGCUGCCUUCCUCCACUGGCCCUUCCUCCAUGAUGUGUUGCCCCAACUUGGGCCCAGAGCAAUGGAGUCAGUUGUCUAUGGACUGGGACGUCUAAAAUUAUGACCCACAAAUAAACUUUUCCUCUCCUAAGUUGUUCUCAUUGGUGUUUUUUUUUCCCACAGUGAUACAAAAAUCUAACUAAAACAGUGCUAAAUAGAACAUCUGUUGGCUGGCAUUACAGCUCAGCUCAUGGCUCCUAUAUUAGGAAUCCCAGCUCUCUUCACACAAGGGCAGAGCUUAAGGCUGCCUCCAGAUCCUGGCCCCACAAAUUAUACGCUCAAUAAAUAUUAGAAAUAAUGAAGACUUGGUACUCCUAUUUUAAUUAGAUUUCUAUUUUAAAAUAAUACUGUGCAUAUUUUAUAAAACAGUCAAAUGGCAUGAGUAAGUAUAAAAUAAAAAGUAAAUCUGCACUCAGCCCCAGUUUUAAGGAGUCUUCAUGUUCAUGGAACUUGAUAUCAUCCCCAAUAUUCUGCUCUCUCUGUGUGUUUCUGAAUAAGUAUGUGGGGCAUCAUUUCAUCACCUGUGUGGGUAAAAGAGAAUAUUUACACUAGACAUUUCUAAGGGAAGAAGCGCAUGAAGGGAUUUCAUAUUUGCAAAUUCAACUGUCAGAUUUGAAAAAGCAAGUAUGAAUUCCUUACUGACCAAGAGUAUGAAUUCCAUCUUGAACACAAUGGCAAACCCUGCUUAAUCAGCCUUCUAUUGAUAUAUAUCUAUCUCAGCUCUCAACAGGACUGAAAUCUGUCCAAAGAGAACUUGAAUAUAUCUAUGCUAAUUGCUGGCUUAUCCCAAGCCUACCAUGAUGGCCUAUGGACAGUUUCUGACAUACUUUGGAACCCAGGAUAAGUAACCAAUCCAGGCAAUCUGGAUUACAAAAGGAAAUUUGGAGCAGUAAUUCUGAAUUGGAUUCUACCCAUAAAGACAUUUCUUAAGAAGGCUUAGAGGAAAGAAAGAGAAGCAAGUAUGGAAUUCUCCCUUUCUAAAUUGGUGAAUAUCUUUUCAAGGCCAGCAAUCUCCCUGGAACUGGAAGUACUGUUGAUUUAAAAAAAAAAAAAGGAGAACAAAAUGUCAGGCUUGAGAA